RNAcentral lists this ribosomal RNA (253 nucleotides) under uncultured bacterium. RNAcentral's name for it is "partial 16S ribosomal RNA". It matches the Rfam family "Bacterial small subunit ribosomal RNA", at positions 524 to 776 of the family's 1533-position model. The record is from RNAcentral.
UACGUAGGGGGCAAGCGUUGUCCGGAUUUAUUGGGCGUAAAGAGCGUGUAGGCGGCCAGGUAGGUCUGCUGUGAAAACUCGAGGCUUAACCUCGAGCUGUCGGCGGAAACCAUCUGGCUAGAGUCCGAAAGAGGAGAAUGGAAUUCCCGGUGUAGCGGUGAAAUGCGCAGAUAUCGGGAAGAACACCCGUGGCGAAGGCGGUUCUCUGGGACGGUACUGACGCUGAGACGCGAAAGCGUGGGGAGCGAACAGG